AUGCUCAUUAUGGCAGCACAUAUACCAAAACUGGAACAAUUAAGAAAUUAGCAUGGCCCCUUUCUUUGCAAGGAUGACAUGCAAAUUCAUGAAGCACUCCACAUUUAA
Small nuclear RNA from Marmota marmota marmota (Alpine marmot), 108 nucleotides. NCBI's taxonomy places the organism in Eukaryota, Metazoa, Chordata, Mammalia, Rodentia, Sciuridae. The record is from Ensembl.